GUGAUCAGCACUCAACACAGACCACCGGCCAUGGAAUUUUGGCUGAGCUGGGUUUUCCUUGUAGCUGUUUUGAAAGGUGUCCAGUGUGAAGUGCAGCUGGUGGAGUCUGGGAGAGGCUUGGUCCAGCCUGGGGGGUCCCUAAGACUCUCCUGUGCAGUCUCUGGAUUCACCUUCAGUGACCACUACAUGAGCUGGGUCCGCCAGGCUCCAGGGAAGGGGCCGGAGUGGGUAGGUUUCAUGAGAAACAAAGCUAAUGGUGGGAGAACAGAAUACGCCGCGUCUGGGAAAGGCAGAUUCACUAUCUCAAGAGAUGAUUCCAAAAGCAUCGCCAGUCUGCAAAUGAGCAGCCUGAAAACCGAGGACACGGCCGUGUAUUACUGUGCCAGAAACACAGUGAGGGGAGGUCAGUGUGAGCCCAGAAACAAACCUCCCUACAGGGGCGCGUGGAUCCCCCAGGGGGCGCGCUGCAGGAGUCGGCGGCCAGCGCGGAGCAGAGGAAGAGGCCGUGACAGCCACAGAGAGAAGGAGAAGAACACGCAGCUGAAGACGAGGAUGGAGGAGCCGGAGGCCGAGCUCCGAGAAAAGGAGGCAGAGCUGGAAGAUCUCCCAAAACAAAGUGAACUCACACCUCAGCUCACGUCAGAGCGCGACGGUCUCUCUGAGAAGAUGGAGGCCGCAGAGAGACGAUCAAAACCUGGAAGACAAAGCGCGUUCCCUAAAGACAGACGCUGA
Non-coding RNA from Macaca mulatta (Rhesus monkey), 732 nucleotides. Lineage: Eukaryota; Metazoa; Chordata; Mammalia; Primates; Cercopithecidae. The record is from the annotation of a RefSeq genome assembly.